RNAcentral lists this long non-coding RNA (395 nucleotides) under Gossypium raimondii (Peruvian cotton). RNAcentral's name for it is "long non-coding RNA (GRAI_LNC002251)". Lineage: Eukaryota; Viridiplantae; Streptophyta; Magnoliopsida; Malvales; Malvaceae. The record is from RNAcentral.
UUGCUACCAUUUUAGUUAAUAGUUUAGGUAAAAAGCCAAAAUCAAACAAAUAAUAAAGAACCCUAAACCUUAAAUAAUAAUUACAAAUAAAAAAUUACCUUUAAAACAAAAUUUGUUGUUGCCUCCUCUCCUUCCAAAAUCACUAAAUCAAACAAAUAAUAAGUAGCACAAAACCCUAAACAAGUAAAUAACAAUUACAAAAAAAAAUACCUUUAAAAUAAAAAUUUUUGUUGCCUCCUCUCUUCCCAAAACCUCAAAAUAAAACACUAAUAAGUAAACUAAAACCUUAAACAAAUAAAUAAUGAUUAAAAAAAUUACCUUUCAAAACAACCCUCUACCGCCUCUCCCCUUUCAGCACACUAAAACCCUCUUAUAUUCUCUUCUCCCUUCUUUCU